UAGGGAGUCUUCCACAAUGGGCGAAAGCCUGAUGGAGCAACGCCGCGUGUGUGAUGAAGGGUUUCGGCUCGUAAAACACUGUUGUAAGAGAAGAAUGACAUUGAGAGUAACUGUUCAAUGUGUGACGGUAUCUUACCAGAAAGGAACGGCUAAAUACGUGCCAC
Molecule: ribosomal RNA, 164 nt
Filed under: uncultured bacterium
Lineage: Bacteria
Description: partial 16S rRNA
Rfam family: Bacterial small subunit ribosomal RNA
Source: RNAcentral